RNAcentral lists this ribosomal RNA (529 nucleotides) under Cladophialophora sp. EXP0540F. Its description in RNAcentral is "eukaryotic LSU rRNA". The stretch from base 205 to 357 matches the Rfam family "5.8S ribosomal RNA". The record is from RNAcentral. Lineage: Eukaryota; Fungi; Ascomycota; Eurotiomycetes; Chaetothyriales; Herpotrichiellaceae.
USSUSRDNAGGAUCAUUACCGAGUUAGGGUCUUCUAGGCCCGACCUCCAACCCUUUGUCUACUUUACCACUUGUUGCUUCGGCGAGCCCGUCCCUAUUAUAGGGGCCGCCGGAGGUCUAGUACCUCUGGUCCGCGCUCGUCGAUAGCCUUUAUUAAACUCUUGUUUAACUAUGUCGUCUAAGUAAAAAGCACUUAAUUAAUUAAAACUUUCAACAACGGAUCUCUUGGUUCUGGCAUCGAUGAAGAACGCAGCGAAAUGCGAUAAGUAAUGCGAAUUGCAGAAUCCGUGAGUCAUCGAAUCUUUGAACGCACAUUGCGCCCUUUGGUAUUCCGAAGGGCAUGCCUGUUCGAGCGUCAUUAUCACCUCUCAAGCCUGGCUUGCUGUUGGACUCUAGGUCUAGUUUUAACUACACCAGUCCCAAAGAUAAUGACGGCGUCUGUGAGGACCCCAGUACAUUGAGCUUUCAUAGCACGUAUUAGGUGGAAGCCCAGGCCCGGUCUUAACUAUUUUAUUACUAAGGUUGACCUC